RNAcentral lists this ribosomal RNA (282 nucleotides) under uncultured bacterium. RNAcentral's name for it is "partial 16S ribosomal RNA". It matches the Rfam family "Bacterial small subunit ribosomal RNA", at positions 524 to 809 of the family's 1533-position model. The record is from RNAcentral.
UACGUAGGGGGCAAGCGUUGUCCGGAAUUAUUGGGCGUAAAGAGCGCGUAGGCGGUCCGAUAAGUCGGCUGUGAAAGUCAGGGGCUCAACCCUUGAAAGCCGGCCGAUACUGUCGGACUAGAGUCCGGAAGAGGCAAGUGGAAUUCCCGGUGUAGCGGUGAAAUGCGCAGAUAUCGGGAGGAACACCAAUGGCGAAGGCAGCUUGCUGGGACGGUACUGACGCUGAGCGCGAAAGCGUGGGAGCAACAGGAGUAGAUGACCGAGAUCCCGAGUACAACUCGU